Molecule: ribosomal RNA, 669 nt
Filed under: Triticum aestivum (bread wheat)
Lineage: Eukaryota; Viridiplantae; Streptophyta; Magnoliopsida; Poales; Poaceae
Description: partial small subunit ribosomal RNA
Source: RNAcentral
AUGACGGCGACGGCGGUGGCGGCAUUCCCGCCGCACGCCUCCAUCUGCUCCCUCAUCUCCUUCCUCGGCCACCACCUCGCCGCGCUCCUCGCCGACCCGGCCGACCUCCUCGCCACGCGGCGCCGCUGCGUGGCGCUGCUCGCGGGGCCUUCCCCGCGCCCGGCCUCCUCGGCCGACGGCGACGACGAUGACGACGACGACGCCGUCCUCGCCGCGCUCCAGGGCGCCAUCGACUCGUUCCCGACGGCGGCCUCUGCGGACGCGGGGCUCCUCCGCGACGUCGAGGCGGCGCUGCAGGCGCCCGCGCUGCUGCCGGAGGACGGGCGGACGGCGGGGCGGGGCAACCGGGUCGUGGCCGCGUGCGCCUACUUCUACCUGGCCCUGGUGCGGGCGGCGCAGGGGGACGCGUGGCAGAUGGCCGCGCACUUCCUGCAGGCCGUGCUCGUCUCCCCCGCCGCGCUGGCCGGCCGCGGCGGGCUCGCGCCCCGCGCGCUCUGGGACGGCCUGUUCGACGAGGCCGUCCUCGCGCGCGCCGGCGGCGCCGGCGCCAGCGAGGACGACGCGGCGCGCCGGGCCGCCCGGCGGUACAAGGACUGGCUCAUGUACUACCGGGUCGUGGCCGCCGCGCCCGACGGCGCCGGCGCCGCCUCGGCCGACGGUGGCGGGUGA